AAGACUAUAGACCUGCGGAGUACCUGCGGAAGGAUCAUUACCGAGUGCGGGCCCUCUGGGUCCAACCUCCCACCCGUGUUUAUUGUACCUUGUUGCUUCGGCGGGCCCGCCGUUUUGGCCGCCGGGGGGCAUCUGCCCCCGGGCCUGCGCCCGCCGAAGACACCCCCCGAACUCUGUCUGAAGAUUGUAGUCUGAGUGGAAUGAUAAAUCAAUUAAAACUUUUAGCAACGGAUCUCUAGA
This 240-nucleotide unclassified non-coding RNA is filed under the name soil metagenome. RNAcentral's name for it is "partial contains 5.8S ribosomal RNA, internal transcribed spacer 2, and large subunit ribosomal RNA". The record is from RNAcentral.